GACAGAGGUCCCGAGCGUUAGGCGGAAUCACUGGGCUUAAAGCGUGUGUAGGCGGAUUUGUAAGUACCUUGUGAAAUCCCACGGCUUAACCGUGGAACUGCUUGGUAUACUGCUUAUCUUGGGCCAUCUAGUGGCUACUGGAACAAACGGUGGAGCGGUGAAAUGCGUAGAUAUCGUUUGGAACGCCAAUGGUGAAAACAGGUAGCUGGGGAUGUGCCGACGCUGAGACACGAAAGCCCGGGGAGCGAACGGG
RNAcentral lists this ribosomal RNA (253 nucleotides) under uncultured bacterium. Its description in RNAcentral is "partial 16S ribosomal RNA". It matches the Rfam family "Bacterial small subunit ribosomal RNA", at positions 524 to 776 of the family's 1533-position model. The record is from RNAcentral.